UGGGGAAUUUUGCACAAUGGGGGAAACCCUGAUGCAGCGACGCCGCGUGAUUUAGAAGGCCUUCGGGUUGUAAAAAUCUUUUCUAUGGGAAGAAAAUGACAGUACCAUAGGAAUAAGGACUGGCUAAUUACGUGCCAGCAGCCGCGGUAAUACGUAAGGUCCGAGCGUUGUCCGGAAUCAUUGGGCGUAAAGGGUACGUAGGCGGGUAAGCAAGUUAGAAGUGAAAUCCUGUAGCUCAACUACAGUAAGCUUUUAAAACUGCUCAUCUUGAGGUAUGGAAGGGAAAGUGGAAUUCCUAGUGUAGCGGUGAAAUGCGCAGAUAUUAGGAGGAAUACCGGUGGCGAAGGCGACUUUCUGGCCAUAUACUGACGCUGAGGUACGAAAGCGUGGGUAGCAAACAGG
Molecule: ribosomal RNA, 402 nt
Filed under: Verrucomicrobiota bacterium
Lineage: Bacteria; Pseudomonadati; Verrucomicrobiota
Description: Verrucomicrobia bacterium partial 16S ribosomal RNA
Rfam family: Bacterial small subunit ribosomal RNA
Source: RNAcentral